This 71-nucleotide transfer RNA is filed under the name Desulfosporosinus hippei DSM 8344. RNAcentral's name for it is "tRNA_Ser_TGA". It matches the Rfam family "tRNA". From Rfam's summary of the family: Transfer RNA (tRNA) molecules are approximately 80 nucleotides in length. Their secondary structure includes four short double-helical elements and three loops (D, anti-codon, and T loops). Further hydrogen bonds mediate the characteristic L-shaped molecular structure. tRNAs have two regions of fundamental functional importance: the anti-codon, which is responsible for specific mRNA codon recognition, and the 3' end, to which the tRNAs corresponding amino acid is attached (by aminoacyl-tRNA synthetases). tRNAs cope with the degeneracy of the genetic code in two manners: having more than one tRNA (with a specific anti-codon) for a particular amino acid; and 'wobble' base-pairing, i.e. permitting non-standard base-pairing at the 3rd anti-codon position. Lineage: Bacteria; Bacillati; Bacillota; Clostridia; Eubacteriales; Desulfitobacteriaceae. The record is from RNAcentral.
GCUGGUGCAGCUCGAUUGGAAGAGUAGUUGAUUAGUUUAUCAGCUUGCGGGUUCGAUUCCCAUCACCAGCU